GUUUAUAUAGUUUAAAUUUAAAACUCUACAUUUUCACUGUAAAAAUAAAAUAUAUAUAUUUUUAUAAAUA
RNAcentral lists this transfer RNA (70 nucleotides) under Sarbanissa venusta. RNAcentral's name for it is "tRNA-Glu". The record is from RNAcentral. Lineage: Eukaryota; Metazoa; Arthropoda; Insecta; Lepidoptera; Noctuidae.